AGAGUUUGAUCCUGGCUCAGAGCGAACGCUGGCGGCAGGCCUAACACAUGCAAGUCGAACGAACUCUUCGGAGUUAGUGGCGGACGGGUGAGUAACACGUGGGAACGUGCCUUUAGGUUCGGAAUAACUCAGGGAAACUUGUGCUAAUACCGAAUGUGCCCUUCGGGGGAAAGAUUUAUCGCCUUUAGAGCGGCCCGCGUCUGAUUAGCUAGUUGGUGAGGUAAAGGCUCACCAAGGCGACGAUCAGUAGCUGGUCUGAGAGGAUGAUCAGCCACAUUGGGACUGAGACACGGCCCAAACUCCUACGGGAGGCAGCAGUGGGGAAUCUUGCGCAAUGGGCGAAAGCCUGACGCAGCCAUGCCGCGUGAAUGAUGAAGGUCUUAGGAUUGUAAAAAUCUUUCACCG
RNAcentral lists this ribosomal RNA (405 nucleotides) under uncultured bacterium. RNAcentral's name for it is "bacterial SSU rRNA". It matches the Rfam family "Bacterial small subunit ribosomal RNA", at positions 8 to 441 of the family's 1533-position model. The record is from RNAcentral.